CAAGAAGCUGGGAGGGAGAACAACCAAGACAGCUGACAAAAACUGGCCACAGGGAUAUUCCGUAACACUGAAUGUCAUGCUCAGUGUAUAAACUGGGGCAAGUUGGUCAGGAGGGACCAAUUGCUGCCAGGGGAUGAGCUGGGCAUUGGUCAGAGGCUGGGGACAAGUGGAGUGAGUGAGUAGCUGCGUGGUGCUCAGUUGCCUGCUGGGGUUAAACCAUGACAUGAGCUUUUUUCCUUUUUUUGCCCUGAAGUAUCAGAAGGAAGCAGAGUGUUGAUGCCUGUUGAACUCAUCGUGAAGCAAUCUGACAUUGACUGUUGCUGGAUGAAAAUACGCUAAUAAUAUCCCCGUACACGGAUAUAAUGAGUGCCACUUGGGAGAAUCCCAAAGCUCGGCGUAAUGCUGUGACAGGCAGAUGCUUCCCUUCCAAAUACUGCUGAAAUGCUGCCAUGUAGGAGCAGGAGGAUGCAGCAGCUGCA
Long non-coding RNA from Passer domesticus (house sparrow), 479 nucleotides. RefSeq lists it as uncharacterized. The transcript has 3 exons. The record is from RefSeq and is a predicted model, not a curated record. NCBI's taxonomy places the organism in Eukaryota, Metazoa, Chordata, Aves, Passeriformes, Passeridae.